RNAcentral lists this transfer RNA (72 nucleotides) under Micromonospora sediminimaris. RNAcentral describes it as "tRNA-His". Lineage: Bacteria; Bacillati; Actinomycetota; Actinomycetes; Micromonosporales; Micromonosporaceae. The record is from RNAcentral.
CCCGUUCUCGCGUACCGGCGGCACCUGUCCGCUGUGGACGGUCUACGAGGCGUUCGGCGCGCCGGGGCGGGU